RNAcentral lists this ribosomal RNA (508 nucleotides) under uncultured bacterium. RNAcentral describes it as "bacterial SSU rRNA". It matches the Rfam family "Bacterial small subunit ribosomal RNA", at positions 19 to 518 of the family's 1533-position model. The record is from RNAcentral.
CUGGCUCAGGAUGAACGCUAGCGGCAGGCUUAACACAUGCAAGUCGAGGGGCAUCGGGAGUAGCAAUACUGCCGGCGACCGGCGCAAGGGUGCGUAACGCGUGAGCAACAUGCCCGUAUCAGGGGGAUAAUCCAUGGAAACGUGGUCUAAUACCCCAUAGUAAUUAUGUAAGGCAUCUUAUAUAAUUUAAAGCUUUGGUGGAUACGGAUUGGCUCGCGUGACAUUAGCUAGAUGGUAAGGUAACGGCUUACCAUGGCUACGAUGUCUAGGGGUUCUGAGAGGAAGGUCCCCCCACACUGGAACUGAGACACGGUCCAGACUCCUACGGGAGGCAGCAGUGAGGAAUAUUGGACAAUGGAUGGAAAUCUGAUCCAGCCAUGCCGCGUGCGAAAGGAAGACCGGCCCUAUGGGUUGUAAACUGCUUUUGUAUGGGAGCAAUAAGGGCUACGCGUAGUCCGAUGAGAGUACCAUACGAAUAAGCACCGGCUAACUCCGUGCCAGCAGCCGC